This 484-nucleotide ribosomal RNA is filed under the name uncultured bacterium. RNAcentral's name for it is "partial 16S ribosomal RNA". It matches the Rfam family "Bacterial small subunit ribosomal RNA", at positions 29 to 507 of the family's 1533-position model. The record is from RNAcentral.
AUUGAACGCUGGCGGCAUGCUUUACACAUGCAAGUCGAACGGAAGGGCCGGGUUCGGCCUGGCGGCGUGAGGAGCAAGGGUGUGUAAUGCAUCGGAGUGUGCCCCGCAGUGGGGGAUAGUAAGGCCAAAGACGGGGUAAUAACGCCUAAGAUCUGCGGGUGCAAGAGGGGGGUCGAAAGACAUUGUGCCAUUGGAGGGGGCGAGGUCGGAUUUGCUAGUUGGUGGGGGGAAGACUUACCAAGGCGACGAUUAGUAGCUGGUCUAAGAGGGCGACCGGCAACACUGGAAGUUAGACACGGCCCAGACUCCUACGGUAGGCCGCAGUAUGCAAUUGUAGACAAUGGGGGCAACCCUGACCCAGCCAUGCCGCGUGCGGGAAAAAAGCCUUCGGUUUGUAAACCGCUUCUGUUGGGGGUGAAAUCCUGUGGGCUAAGACCCCGAGGGGGUGACGGUACCGGGAAAAUAAGCACCGGCUAACUACGUG